Long non-coding RNA from Lates calcarifer (barramundi perch), 623 nucleotides. RefSeq lists it as uncharacterized. Lineage: Eukaryota; Metazoa; Chordata; Actinopteri; Centropomidae. The record is from RefSeq and is a predicted model, not a curated record. The transcript has 3 exons.
AUGUAGUGCUAUGACAAGUCAAAAUGCCAUUUAAAACCUCUGUUCUGUUAUAGGUAGUUUAUACUAUGGCCAUGUCGGUUCAUAGUCUGUGUUCGGUGCAGUGCAGUCUGGAGGUGGCAGAAACUUUUGUACAGUCAAGAAAGGUGACAGUGGAAUCAAUCUCCGUAGCUAUCCCCGAGAGUACGCCUGAGUUGGUGCUCGUGAAUCUGGAAGUGACAGUAUGAUUCCACAGCCGCAGUGCUGGAAUCGUUCUUUUGGGGAGCCCAUGUUCCAGUCUGACUCAAACUCCACGACAUCUGUGCCACCCCUAUGAAAGGCAGUGCCAUGCCCACUGCAAACAUAAACCAUGGAGAUGCAAGGAAGGGUGAGUGUUUAUAGUAUUCUGUCUGUGUUUGCUAACCACACAAUAAGAUAGAGUUGAUUGCACACUCAUACAGAAACACACACACCAAUCAAGAUAAUCCCUUUAGGGCCCAAUACAUGAUGACAGUGAAGCAACCUAAAAGGAGAAACUGAAGAUUGCUCAUAAACAAAUGAUGGGAGGCAAACAAAAGUAUAGAAGAAUCUGUCCAGAUACCUCUGUCUUUUUGUCCCAUACAGUGAGGCCAAUAUCUUUCUCCAGA